This 466-nucleotide ribosomal RNA is filed under the name uncultured bacterium. RNAcentral describes it as "bacterial SSU rRNA". It matches the Rfam family "Bacterial small subunit ribosomal RNA", at positions 328 to 792 of the family's 1533-position model. The record is from RNAcentral.
UUGCCAGACUCCUACGGGAGGCAGCAGUGAGGAAUAUUGGUCAAUGGCCGGGAGGCUGAACCAGCCAAGUCGCGUGAGGGAAGACGGCCCUACGGGUUGUAAACCUCUUUUGUCAGGGAGCAAGGUGCAGGUCGGGACCUGCUGUGAGAGUACCUGAAGAAAAAGCAUCGGCUAACUCCGUGCCAGCAGCCGCGGUAAUACGGAGGAUGCGAGCGUUAUCCGGAUUUAUUGGGUUUAAAGGGUGCGCAGGCGGAGGCACAAGUCAGCGGUAAAAUCGCGGGGCUCAACCCCGUCGUGCCGUUGAAACUGGCGUUCUUGAGUGAGCGAGAAGUAUGCGGAAUGCGUGGUGUAGCGGUGAAAUGCAUAGAUAUCACGCAGAACUCCGAUUGCGAAGGCAGCAUACCGGCGCUCAACUGACGCUCAUGCACGAAAGCGUGGGUAUCGAACAGGAUUAGAUACCCCCGUA